Molecule: ribosomal RNA, 382 nt
Filed under: uncultured eukaryote
Lineage: Eukaryota
Description: partial 18S ribosomal RNA
Rfam family: Eukaryotic small subunit ribosomal RNA
Source: RNAcentral
UGUAAGCGUAUACCAAAGUUGUUGCAGUUAAAACGCUCGUAGUCGGAACUUGGCAGUUCCGGAAGUGUGCACGUCGUGUGCGCACUUUGCAGGGACUGCUUUUGUGGUCUUGCGUAGGAUGAGGCACUUUUAUUAGUGAACGUCCUCACGCAACCACUCUUUACUGUGAGAAAAUCAGAGUGCUCAAAGCAGGCAUUUGCCGUGAAUGCAUUAGCAUGGAAUAAUAGAAUAGGACUCGGUUCUAUUUUGUUGGUUUGUUGGGACUGAGUAAUGAUUAAGAGGGACAGUUGGGGGCAUUUGUAUUUCGGCGCUAGAGGUGAAAUUCUUAGAUUGCCGAAAGACAAACUGCUGCGAAAGCGUCUGCCAAGGAUGUUUUCAUUGA